UGCAAGGUCGACGAAGCUUUCGGGCUUAGUGGCGCACGGGUGCGUAACGCGUAUGCAAUUUACCUUUUACAGGGGGACAACACUAGGAAACUGGUGCUAAUACCGCGUAAUAAAUAGAGAGGCAUCUUUUUAUUUUAAAAGAAUUUCGGUAAGAGAUAAGCAUGCGUCCCAUUAGCUAGUUGGUAAGGUAACGGCUUACCAAGGCCACGAUGGGUAGGGGAACUGAGAGGUUUAUCCCCCACACUGGUACUGAGAUACGGACCAGACUCCUACGGGAGGCAGCAGUAAGGAAUAUUGGGCAAUGGGCGAGAGCCUGACCCAGCCAUGCCGCGUGCAGGAUGACGCUCCUCGUUGGGUGUAAACUGCUUUUAUUAGGGAAGAACAAGUUUCUGCGGAGACAACUGACGGUACCUAAUGAAUAAGCACCGGCUAACUACGUGCCAGCAGCCGCGGUAAUACGUAGGGUGCAAGCGUUGUCCGGAUUUAUUGGGUUUAAAGGGUGUGUAGGCGGUCUAGUAAGUUUUGGGUGAAAGCCCACCGCUCAACGGUGGAACUGCCUGAGAUACUGCUAGACUUGAGUAUAGUUAAAGUUACUAGAAUUGGUGGUGUAGCGGUGAAAUGCAUAGAUACCACCAGGAAUACCAAUUGCGAAGGCAGGUAACUAGGCUAUAACUGACGCUGAGGCACGAAAGCAUGGGUAGCGAACAGGAUUAGAUACCCUGGUAGUCCAUGCUGUAAACGAU
Molecule: ribosomal RNA, 743 nt
Filed under: uncultured bacterium
Lineage: Bacteria
Description: bacterial SSU rRNA
Rfam family: Bacterial small subunit ribosomal RNA
Source: RNAcentral